CCUACGGGUGGCAGCAGUAGGGAAUCUUCCACAAUGGGCGAAAGCCUGAUGGAGCAACGCCGCGUGGGUGAAGAAGGUCUUCGGAUCGUAAAACCCUGUUGUUAGAGAAGAAAGUGCGUGAGAGUAACUGUUCACGUUUCGACGGUAUCUAACCAGAAAGCCACGGCUAACUGCGUGCCAGCAGCCGCGGUAAUGCGUAGGUGGCAAGCGUUAUCCGGAUUUAUUGGGGGUAAAGGGAACGCAGGCGGUCUUUUAAGUCUGAUGUGAAAGCCUUCGGCUUAACCGGAGUAGUGCAUUGGAAACUGGGAGACGUGAGUGCAGAAGAGGAGAGUGGAACUCGAUGUGUAGCGGUGAAAUGCGUAGAUAUAUGGAAGAACACCAGUGGCGAAAGCGGCUCUCUGGUCUGUAACUGACGCUGAGGUUCGAAAGCGUGGGUAGCAAACAGGAUUAGAUACCCCAGUAGUC
RNAcentral lists this ribosomal RNA (465 nucleotides) under uncultured bacterium. RNAcentral's name for it is "partial 16S ribosomal RNA". It matches the Rfam family "Bacterial small subunit ribosomal RNA", at positions 338 to 795 of the family's 1533-position model. The record is from RNAcentral.